AUUGAACGCUGGCGGCAGGCCUAACACAUGCAAGUCGAGCGAGCGGCGGACGGGGGAGAAAUGUAUGGGGACUGCCCGAUAGAGGGGGAUAACUACUGGAAACGGUGGCUAAUACCGCAUACUAUCGGAUAACCCAUAUGGGAUUAGCUCGUAGGUGGGGUAAAGUCUCACCUUGGCUACGAUGUCUAGCUGUGCUGAGAGGAUGCUCAGCCACACGGUGACUGGAACACGGCCCAGACUCCGAUGGAGGCAGAAGGGGGGAAUAUUGCACAAGGGGCGCAAGCCUGAUGCAGCCAUGCCGCGUGUAUGAAGAAGGCCUUAGGGUUGUAAAGUACUUUCAGCGGGGAGGCGUUACCCGCAGAAGAAGCACCGGCUAACUCCGUGCCAGCAGCCGCGGUAAUAC
RNAcentral lists this ribosomal RNA (403 nucleotides) under uncultured bacterium. RNAcentral's name for it is "partial 16S ribosomal RNA". It matches the Rfam family "Bacterial small subunit ribosomal RNA", at positions 30 to 526 of the family's 1533-position model. The record is from RNAcentral.